Molecule: long non-coding RNA, 2124 nt
Organism: Balaenoptera ricei (Rice's whale)
Lineage: Eukaryota; Metazoa; Chordata; Mammalia; Artiodactyla; Balaenopteridae
Exons: 3
Source: RefSeq, a predicted model, not a curated record
GGUCCUGCUUUUCCUAAAGCUGUCUGACUUCAGAGGUCAUACAAAGGCCAAUCCAUGUUCCUGCCAAACUGGCUGGGCAGGAUGGAAGGUGGACAAGGAAAACCUGGACCUGCCAGACGUUGCCUCAACGUCCUCUAAAGCUCAAGGACCAGGAGCCACGUAUUAUUAUGAUCAAUAAUAUUGUUAGUCAUACUGGAUGUUAUUAAGAGGCAGAAGCUACGAAGUAGCUAUAGUCUGGAAGUACCACUGAAAUGUAACAUGUGUGCCAGAAGCCAUAAAACAUGUACCUAGAUGACCUGGGGCCACCAAAAAGGCCAAUGAUGGAUUGGGUCAGGUAGAGAUCAAAGUAACUCAGAGAAAAGACUCAAGGCUACGGGUCAGAAGAGAAUCAAGUUCAAACCCCAGCACCUCCACUCCUGAGCUAUGUGGCUUCCAACAAAUUGCUUAAACUGAGAUUUAUGGCCCUCAUCUCAUAAAAUGAUACACUUUCACCCACCCUGCAAGACUGUUAUACACCUAGCACAGGAACAGCCGUGCAACAAGUGAUCGAUAAAUGUUAGUAAUAAUGGUCUUAAAAGGGGAGGAAAUACCUCAAAUAAAAGGUCCAGUGAAAGUGCAAUGACUGUGAAGGAGGAAAAAUAGUGAAUCAGAUCAUCCAUCCUUUUUCCAUUUUGAUGCAGGAAGAGUGUAGGUAAAUCUGCAGGCAGCAGGAGGGUGAAAGCACCCUACAUUAGGCAGAGAUGACCCAAAGGAGGCAGAGAGGUACUGACCAGACCCAGGCCAAACCACAGAAUUCACAGAUUUGCUCAGAGGUCACCCUCCGUGAAAACAAAAACCAUGCACCGAAAUAUUUUUUGUCUUUGGGUUACAAAAAUAGCUCUGUUUCUUCUGUCUUAAAUGUUUUGUUUUGCUUUAAUUGCAGACUUCGUUUCUUUAAAAAUUAACCAUGUCACCUGUAUUAAUAAUAAUAGCAAUUUGUAGUAUCAGAAUCCAUAUGCUGGGGCCAAAAUUAAUGAAGCCAUCACUUCUCAUAUCAAGGAACUAGGAAACAUAAGACAGAACACAACUUCUCUCAUGAAUGUUUGCCCCAUCCAUAAUUUGGUUGCUUUUCUUACCAGGAAGUGAUGUGACAUAAGAGUUUCAUUCAUGGAAAGCCAUCUUAUUUGAUUCUGCAAUAAAAUCAUUUUUCUAAUGACUGUUUUUCCUGCAGUAGACAAAUGUCAUACACAGUUCACAAGAGGAGGGCUCCUGAAAACAACCUUCAGUAGCAAUCCCUGGUAACACAAGCACAGUGUAAGGUCAGAAAACUAACAAGAUUGGCCACAGGGAGAACUGCUUUAAAAGAAUGACAGAAAGUUAAAAGGAAUGGAACGAUAGUAAUUAGGCCCUUGCCCUGAAAAUAAAACCAGGUUUAUAAUACAUUUUAUGUGAAAAAGAUGAAAAGUUCUGGUUUUGACUCCAAGCAGCUACUUCCUGAAAUUAAUCACAGAAAAAAAAAAGGGGGGGAUGGAAGAAAUUUUAUAGUCUUCUUCUUAAGAGAGUAAUUCAAUCAGGUUUUCCAACCUCAUUUUUUACCUUUGGACAUUUUAUGUUAUUAAAAUGUCCUUUUAACUUGAUGACAUGGAUAAUAAAUGGUAUCCUUCCCCUGCUUAGGGGAGAGGGAUGUUUAAAAAAAGCAGGGUCCGUUUUCUUGUGAAUUAGAAUAACUAUUCUCCUACCGAGCAGAUUUUUAAGGAAAUGACAAUCGAUGAGAUCAGAAACUUCAUGAAUGGUAAAAUCCCACUAAUGGCCUAUCUAAAGUUCUGCUCCAAGUUCCAAAAGCAUCUUCAGAGUUUUUUACGUUCUUAUAUACUGAACACAGCAGGCUGAAUUGUGAUACGUCAAACAGAAAGAGAUUCUAUGAAUCUCAGAAAGCAGCAUAAGCUAAUCUAUAAACUACUGAGAGCCAUGCAAACGAGCAUCAACUACCAACUCUCAGAGCAGUGUAUUUGCACUGGUCCAUUAAAGAGUGAGUUAAAGGCAAUUUACAACUCUACAGUGGAGACUAUUAAUCACUAUUGAAAUGUUUAUACCUAAUCUUGAAUCUACCCUUUUUCAGUUCCUAUUAAAUUUAGAAAAUGAAGC